UGGGGAAUUUUGGACAAUGGGCGCAAGCCUGAUCCAGCCAUGCCGCGUGAGUGAAGAAGGCCUUCGGGUUGUAAAGCUCUUUCGGCGGGGAAGAAAUCGCAUUCUCUAAUACAGGAUGUGGAUGACGGUACCCGAAUAAGAAGCACCGGCUAACUACGUGCCAGCAGCCGCGGUAAUACGUAGGGUGCGAGCGUUAAUCGGAAUUACUGGGCGUAAAGCGUGCGCAGGCGGUUUUGUAAGUCAGAUGUGAAAUCCCCGGGCUCAACCUGGGAACUGCAUUUGAGACUGCAAGGCUAGAGUGUAGCAGAGGGGGGUAGAAUUCCACGUGUAGCAGUGAAAUGCGUAGAGAUGUGGAGGAAUACCGAUAGCGAAGGCAGCCCCCUGGGCUAAUACUGACGCUCAUGCACGAGAGCGUGGGGAGGAAACA
This 427-nucleotide ribosomal RNA is filed under the name uncultured bacterium. RNAcentral describes it as "bacterial SSU rRNA". It matches the Rfam family "Bacterial small subunit ribosomal RNA", at positions 355 to 774 of the family's 1533-position model. The record is from RNAcentral.